Molecule: ribosomal RNA, 562 nt
Filed under: uncultured Bifidobacterium sp.
Lineage: Bacteria; Bacillati; Actinomycetota; Actinomycetes; Bifidobacteriales; Bifidobacteriaceae
Description: bacterial SSU rRNA
Rfam family: Bacterial small subunit ribosomal RNA
Source: RNAcentral
CUCCUGGAAACGGGUGGUAAUGCCGGAUGUUCCACAUGAGCGCAUGCGAGUGUGGGAAAGGCUUUUUGCGGCAUGGGAUGGGGUCGCGUCCUAUCAGCUUGUUGGUGGGGUAACGGCCUACCAAGGCGUUGACGGGUAGCCGGCCUGAGAGGGCGACCGGCCGCAUUGGGACUGAGAUACGGCCCAGACUCCUACGGGAGGCAGCAGUGGGGAAUAUUGCACAAUGGGCGCAAGCCUGAUGCAGCGACGCCGCGUGCGGGAUGGAGGCCUUCGGGUUGUAAACCGCUUUUGUUCAAGGGCAAGGCACGGUUUCGGCCGUGUUGAGUGGAUUGUUCGAAUAAGCACCGGCUAACUACGUGCCAGCAGCCGCGGUAAUACGUAGGGUGCAAGCGUUAUCCGGAUUUAUUGGGCGUAAAGGGCUCGUAGGCGGUUCGUCGCGUCCGGUGUGAAAGUCCAUCGCUUAACGGUGGAUCCGCGCCGGGUACGGGCGGGCUUGAGUGCGGUAGGGGAGACUGGAAUUCCCGGUGUAACGGUGGAAUGUGUAGAUAUCGGGAAGAACACC